Molecule: ribosomal RNA, 570 nt
Filed under: Melampsora sp. TSH-R10212
Lineage: Eukaryota; Fungi; Basidiomycota; Pucciniomycetes; Pucciniales; Melampsoraceae
Description: eukaryotic LSU rRNA
Rfam family: Eukaryotic large subunit ribosomal RNA
Source: RNAcentral
GGCGAGUGAACAGGGAAAAGCCCAAAUUUGUAAUCUGGCACUUUUUACAAGUGUCCGAGUUGUAAUUUGUAGAGCUGUUAUCCGUACUGGACCAUGUACAAGUCUGUUGAAAAGCAGCAUCAUUGAAGGUGAAAAUCCUGUAGAUGAUAUGGACUACCAGUAUAUUUGUGAUACGGUUUCUAAGAGUCGAGUUGUUUGGGAAUGCAGCUCACAGUGGGUGGUAAAUUCCAUCUAAGGCUAAAUAUAAGUGAGAGACCGAUAGCAAACAAGUACCGUGAGGGAAAGAUGAAAAGAACUUUGAAAAUAGAGUUAACAGUACGUGAAAUUGCUGAAAGGGAAACGUUUGAAGUUAGUUUUGUAUUCGUUGGAUCAGCUUCGCAAGGAGUGUAUUCUGAUGAUAAGCAAGUCAACAUCAGUCUAUGAGUGUUGGAUAAGGGUUUUGAGAAUGUAGCAAUUUAAUUGUGUUAUAGCUUGAGACUUGGAUACAAUGCUUUGGAUUGAGGAACGCGUAGUAAGCUUUGAGCGGAUUCGAAAGGAUCUCCUUACUAUGGAUGUUGGUGAAAUAACUUU